GGCCAGUUCUGUUUUUCAAGAUGUUAUUUUCUUUAGUAUUUUUUGGGCUUCAUUUACCAAGCUAUUAAUUCUCUUUUCAUAAUUUUCUUUAAUCUCUCAUUUCUUUUUUAAACUUCUUUUCUACCAUUCUCAUCUCUUUCUUUAACUCUUUCAGGAAUUCCUGUUGGCCUUCUGUCCAUUUCACACUUUUUUCCUUUAAAGCUUCACUUGUAGCUACUUUGACAUUGUUGUCUUCUGAGUUUUGUAUUGAUUUUCUCUAUCACCAUAGUAAAUCUUUUUAUGGUCAAAUUCUUUUUUGUGGUUUUGCUCAUUUUCCAAGCCUAUUUUUUUGACUUUUUAUGUCAAGGUUGGAUUCUACUUAUGGGAGAGUGGGAAGACAUUGUUCCAAACUUUAAAAUUUUUUAUGCUGCUAUUUUAAGAGCUUAUUCUGGGCUCUUUAAGUUUUCAGUGCUCCCAAGGUAGUAUGAUCCAAGGAUGAGCAUGGUCACUUUUCUCCUAGUCUGUACUCUCCUCUUUACCUAGGAAGGACCCUACAGCCACAAUAAGCCUUGGAACUAUUAUAAAGUUAUUGCUCCCUUGUGACUUGACCACAGGCUCUCCUCCUUUCUCUGAAACUAUGAUCUAAAACUGUGCAUGGGCAAUGGAGUUGCCAAAAAGAACGAAGUCCUUUACCCAGUGCCAGUGAAAGCCUUGUAAUCUCUUUUUGACCAGUUGUUGGGCUCCCUUACUGUUUCUGGAACUCCAGACUCAGCUACUGCUACUAUCACCAUUUUUGAGGCCCAAUGCUGCUGCUAUCAUCUUGUAUUAUGCCCAGCUGGCUCCCUCCACUUUGCCCCCCUCAAUGUCGCAUACCUUUCCUUCUAGUUGUAUUGAGCUGAAAAAAACAAAACAAAACAAAAAGUAUGACCUUUUGUUGUCUCUGCUUCUCCAGAAUUCAAUUUGACCCAUUAUUAUUAAGUUGUUUGAAGGAGAAUGUUGGGAGAGUUUUGCAGGGUGACUGCCUGUACUCCACCAUCUUGGAUCUAUCCCCACCUGAACCCAUGUUGAAAGGUUUUGUGAAGAUGAUCAGGUGUCAUUAGUGCAGCUUAGUACACUUCAAUUCCCAAAUUUCCCCCCUGCGUAAGAACCCUAUUUGGAGUGUAGAACAAAGUUCCAUCGCCUUAAGAUAAUUUCAAGAAAUCUUAUAUUUUCUUGAACACUCGUGCCUCUCUAAGCUUUAGUAUGUGUAGAAUACAAAGUAAGAUUAUUAUUCUGCAGACCAGAAUACUAGAAAAGCUCACAGGGAACCUAGGAAAAGGAAAAUUCACAAAUACCUGGAAGAAUGGGGUUUGUGGGUGGAGAUGGGUGGUGGGUAGUGGUCUCUGGGCUGGUUUGGGCAGGGCCCUUCCACAAGGAACCUACCCAAACUUCCAUGUCCUUUACGCCUUUGUACAAGUGGUAAGAAGGCGGUGGGGGGGGUGACAAUUAAAAUGAAAAAUUGCUAAGAGAAAGGAACAAAGAAAGGAAAGGGGCCCUUCCAGGUUUCAAGGUAAUGUUGCUAAAUGAAUCCAAGAUUUAAACUAAUUGGUUGUAAUCAUCUUAAGGAAAUCAAAAUUUUGAUCCACCCCCACCCCCAUUUCCUCUUUUGGGAUUUCCAUGCUUAGAGAACCUGCCCCUUUGAGUCACUGGGUUUCAGAAAUGAUAAAGUAAAUCAGAUCAAGCAGAUUUCUAAGCCUGGUUAACCCUAUGCUGACAUUUGGUCUUUUUUUUUUUAAUGACUGCCCUUGUUCCUCUCCUCUUUCUUUUUUUGAUUUUCAACCUUUUUGAUCAGGAAGUAACAAGUUGAAAUAUAGGGGUGAAACUCUAAUAUAGAACUGAAAGGGAAGGGGCAGCUAUGUGACUCAGUGGAUUGAGAAUCGAGCAAAGGGAAGGGAAGUCCUAGGUUCAAAUCUGGCCUCAGACACUUAGCUGUGUGACCCCAGGCAAGUCACAUAACUCCCCUUGCCUAGCCCUUACCGCUCUCCUGCCUUGGAACCAAUACACAGUAUAGAUUCUAAGAUGGAAGGAGUACGUGUUUAAAAAUAAACCUGAAAGGAACUUUAGAAAAAUCAUUGAGUUCAAUCUUUUCAUUUUAUAGAUGAGGAAAAUGAGGUAUGGAGAGCUUACAUCAUUUGGCCUAGGUCACCCAGCUACAAAGGUUCCAGAACCUAGAUUUGACCUCAGGUCCUUUGACUCCAAACCCAGUGUUCUGCAUUUGCUACUUGUUAACAGCUGGGUAGUAUUUAGGAUUGGUUUUCCCAUCUAUACUCUGAAAAGAUUAGACUGGGUUCAUUAAUCCCAAAUGCUUGUUAAGCCCCUGCCACAGACAAGGAAUAGGUUAAAUAAGAAUAACAGACAAAAAAUCAAAUGGUCUCUGCCCUCUAAGAGUUUAUCAGAGAAAUGUAAAUGGAUGCAGAUAAGAAAAUAGAAGGUAAUUUAAGGAGACAAUGAGCAACUAGAAAGAGGGGCGGAUGUAUCAUGGGAGAUUCUGCUUCUAAUAUCAGGUUUAGCAUUCUACAUAUAGAAAGGAUACUUUCUAUCCUUUCAGUGGCCCCCUAUUGAAUCUCAGAUAAAUAACCACUCCACAAACAGUGUGACAUUUUAAGAGCACCAGAGUUCAUCCAUAGCUUACUUCUCCAAUCUUGCUUUACCUUACUCCUCUUUAUGUCACCCACAAAGCAAAUGACUCAACAGUUCCUCAACAUGGACUUCUAUCCCUUCAUCCAAAUUGGCUGAAACUGACUCCUCCUAGAGGCCUUCCAUUCCCUCCUAAUUCUAAGUGCCUAUAACCUCCUUCAAUGAUCUUAUAAUAAUUACUUCCCCCAAUAGAGAAAGUCUUUGGGUGACCAUGGACAAAUCAGUGAUUCACAUCCUCUGAUAAUCACUUUAAUUGGCUACAAAUUGGGGACAGUCACAUCACUCCCUUUACCUUCAACAGAGGAAAGUACUUCAUGGAUAGAAGGCAGUGUGACCCAUGGAUAGGAAGCUGGCCUUGGAGUCAGGUCCCUUGGGAACAUAAUACUUCCAUGACUAUAGGCAAGUCAGUUACCCUUCUAGCAUCCCAGUCUAUAAUUUUUUUUAACUCUUACCUUUCAUCAUAGAAUAAAUACUAUAUAUUGGUUCUAAGGCAGAAGAGUGGUAAGGGCUAAGCAAUGGGGGUGGUCUAGGGUCACACAGCUAGGAAGUCUCUGAGGUCAGAUUUGAACCCAGGACCUCCCAUCUCAAGGCCUGGCUCUCAAUCCACUGAACUACCCAACUGCCACCCAGUUGCCCCUCACCCCAGUCUACUAAUUACAAUGUAGUUGUUGUUGAUCAAGUAUAUUUCCUUGAUGGGAGAGCUGUACAUUAAUGACAUUGUAAGAGAGUACAAAGAUAUGAUAUUAUUUUAGGGAAAUAUGACCUAUGCUAUAUUGCUUCAUUCAUUCAUUGGAGCUCCAUUUUUGGUUCUCCUUUUAUUGAGUCUAGAAAGAAGGAAUGGGGUUUAGAAUUCCCUCUAUUCCAUUAGCCUUCCUAGUAUAAUAGUUGCUUAAGUACAAUGCAGUUGAUUUAAAAUAACCAUGUGUGAAGAAGUGAUACACUCCAAUCCAUCCUCCAGGUUCUUUCAGGGCAAAAACUGUCUCACUUUUUGUAUUUGUUUACCCAGGGUUUAACACUGUGCUUAAUAUGUAGUCAUCAUCAAAAUACAUAUCACUUUUUCAUUCCUUUUAGUCCUUCAUUAAAUCCCUAAGUCUUCAUUUUUUUUCUUGGCAUUUGACUCUCUCUACCUUCUUUUUUUUAAACACUUACUUUCUGUCUUGGUAACAACCCUAUGACAGAAGGUACAGGAUAAUGCAAAUAGGGUUAAAUGACUUACUUAGGAUCAUAUACAUAGGAAGUGUCUGAGGCCAAAUUUGAACCCAGGACAUCCUCCUGACUCCAGCUCUGGCACUCUCAGAUGUCCCUUCCUUUUCUAGUCUUCUCUACACACUUAACUCCCCUCUGUACACUGUGAUUCAACUGUUCCAUACAUAAAACAAUUCAUCUCCUGCUAGCUUGCCUUUAUAUCAGCUUCCCCCAUGAAUGUAAAAUAUUCCUUCUUUCCUUCAUUUUUUGAAAUUUGUCAUUCUUCAAGUCUCAGCUCAAGUACAUCCUCUUUAGGGGGUUUUGCUUCGUCCCUUUAGCUCCUAGCAUGUUCUAUCCCAAGCUACCUUGUAUUUAUUUUGCAAACAUUGUUAUAUAUAUAUGAAGCUUCCUCAAACCCGCGAGAAGCCUCAAGAUAGGAAGAUAGAGGAAGGAUAGAAGUUCUGUAUGCCGCGAGGGGGAUGGCGGAGCCCACUUAGAGAUAUGAGGUGGCAGGAAUGAGUCAGAAAUCCAGGCCUUAUUAAUUAUCAAGGAGCCACAGCAGAAACUCCGAUCAGUGGACUACUCAGAAGGCUUAUACCUGUCCAGUGAUCCAAAUUUAAUACCACACAGGUCGGAGACAUGAUAGAGAAAAGAGAGUGCCUGGCCAAAAGCCAGGUCCCAGGUGAGAGAGGUAGAUCAGGAAAGGAAUCAAAGAUGGAGCUUGGCCAGAGGCCAAGCUCCAGCAAGGACAGGCAUCAGUGAGAGCUGAGAUCCAAGUGAAAGAGAGAGAAGAGAGGCGGAGCUUGCUGUGGCACGGUAUUUAAUCUCUUUGAUAUGCAAAUAUACACAAUACAUAGAGAUAAUUAUCAUUGGUCAAUGACAAGGUAUAGGUGUGGUUUCUCUUAGCCAGGUGAACACAAAGAAACCUGUUUUCCUGACUAACCUGGGGGAAUCUGGGGUCAAGGGUCAGAGGCUUUCCCAGCCAUGUGCAAGACUGAGCAUGCUCAAGACUGAACAUGCUCUCUUCUAAGCCAUUCUGUACAUACUAACUGUUUCCCUUGCCCAUAGCUAGGGGUGGACUGCUACUUCUCCCCCUUUUUGUUUAACAUAACAAUAAGUAGUGCAAUAUCAAAAUGUAACAACAUUAUAGCAUUAACAAAUACAAACACUCUGGUGCAUAAUCAUAUCCAGAUACAGAGAUGAAAAACCAAACCAGAUUGUAGAACUUAGAUAUAAAAAUCAAGUGUGAACAUCAGCAUAAACUGAUUCAGUGAUCAAUCUAAAAAACCUAAACUGAUCUUUUUUUCUACCUGUCUGCAUAUCAAAAUCAAUGUAACAGUCUUAGUAGAUAUAAAAAUGUUAAGAAAAUAAUUUUCACUCUACUGAUCCUGGUUUAAUGAGGUAGAAUUCUAUGGCUCACAUGACAGGUGCACUAAUCAAACAUGCCACCUUUCACAGUCUGGACUAUCAGAAGUUGGCAGUCUUUUCAACAGUUAGCAAAAUACUAUCUCUGGAGAUGAAGGAUAAGUCCUUCCUCUCUCGUACUGAUACUGUAUCUUGGGGAUCUAUUCAUGUUCACUUCCAGAUGCCUGCCACAUAGGAAACUGGUUGGUAGCUCGAUGCCAGGACAUCCAGCAACUGAGAGCGUCAGUGUGCCAUGUCUCUGCAUUUCCCAACCUCAAACAUCCAUUUCAUAUGGAAAAUGCAUAAGCGUGACUAAGUCUGUCUGGUCCAUAAUGAAAGAUUCAUUAUGAUUCCUGUUUCAUGCAAUCAGACAUCACUCUCCAGAAUAGUCAUCUGAAAAUUAACAAAUACUGUCAUGUUCUCGUAGUCUCAUACUUCCACGUAGCUGAAACAGUAACAUACUUGCACCUUUGUAAUCCUGGAUCAGAGCAUCAACAGUACUUUCCUUGUACUUAAAAUUCUGGCAAUAAUUGUGCAACAGAAAAAUCAAAAUUGAAUACUUGAAAAUGAAUCAAAAGUGUUCUCUCAAAUGAACAUACUGAUAUCUAUAAGAUUCUUCUCCCUUUUCUUUUUGUUUGUGUGUUGGGAGAGAUCUCUUCAAAGAAAAACAUCCUCUCUGAACAAUUCUGGAGGACCAUGUAUAUAACAUAUCAAAUGAUCUUAGAAAAUGAUCCUGGGAACCUGAUCCCAAAAUUAAUACAAAAUUCUAGAUUCUUGGCUCACUGUUUAUGUGGUAUCUUUGAAACUGAGCCAAUGUGUAAUAUCAGAACUUAUAUUCCAAAUGGUUUCUAAUUCCUGAUCUAAAUAGAUCAAAAUUUGCCUUGUAUAUGAACAUAAUUUUGCACCAUUAAAGGCCUUGCAAAAAUAUUAAUACAACAAUUAUUGUGCAAUUUUUAACAAAUACCAAUAUUCCCAUACACUUUACAUUCUGAUUUGUAGCUUAAAUAACCAUGAUGAUGAUAAUGAAGUAAUAUUUCAAGUUCCAACUGCAUAUUUCUCAUAUCAUUCUUAUUUAAAUCUCUGCUUGUAUAAAUAAACCCAUCAAUAUGAUAACCAAGCAUAUAACAUUACCAAUGUUUGCAAAAUUCAUUCUACCAAACCAAUGUUUGGCAUAAGUUGUUUUUCACAUAGGAACAAUUUCUACAGUUUCUUGUACCUAUAGAAUUUGACAUAGCUUUUUCAUUCCUAGUUGUCAAUGUAUAAUAUUCAAUGUGCUUUUUCUACAAGCUUAUCCGUGCCUAUUGUGUCAUGUUUUCAAUACAUACCCCAGAAAAGUAAAACUUAAAUUAUACUUUGCCCUUGCUCCAUGCAUUUGUGUAUAAUAAUUUGUUCCACCUAGGAGAGACAAUGACUGCGCGUCCACAGAAAUUGUCAAACCCAGAGUCCUCAGUGUGCUCCUGAGGUCUUACUUCUAUAUACCAGAACGUCUUCCAGUAUAUGAAAGGGAAGCCAAUAGACCCCGAAUCCAGAGGCCAUCUGAAUUUUGGGACUGUUAGGAUAGAGCAAGAAAUUGUUCCUAUCAAGAUAUUACCCACAAAGACAGGGUAUCGGGAGUAAUGGUUAACAAUGGCAUUAACACUUAACUACACCUAUGGUAGUCAGCCCGUAAUGUCCAUCCAGGUAUUGUCAGUAACAUAAGCUUUGUCUGGAUGUCAAUGAUCUUUUACAAUAACUCGAGGUUCCUGAUUAAAGAUUUCAUAGUGCAUUUUGCCUGAUCUCUCAUCCUUUCUUGAGAGUAACAUCAGUAUCAUCUGUCCAUUAAACAUGCCUGUGCAGCAUUUUUUGCUUAGCACCUCAUGUUUGUUGUCAGAGGUAUCAGAUCUAUGCUAUGAAUGAAAGUUUUCUAUUUCCUACUCUUUGGAGAGUCAUACGAAUGUCUAUACCCUUGUUGAUAGGAGCAUUUCUUACAAUACAAGUAGUAGUUUUACAGUGCAUACAAAAUAAAUUCCUUUUGACAGUCUCAUAUACAAAAUACAAGGUAUACAUUAGUAGCUAAACAAUUGUAGCUAUUUCAUCUCAAUCCCAUAGUAAAGUCUUUGGAGUGUGGGAUAUAUCUGGUGUCUUAUAUAGACAUGAGUGUGUCUUAGUCCUUCUGAGUUAACAUCCUUGAUGUUGUUCUGGGUACCACAUAUCAAUGGAUGUCAGCAUGACAAGUGUCUAUCAGUAGCCUAAUAGCAAAUGUCUCUAAUAGUGUAAUGUCAUUGUUCUGGAGUGAUAUUAGUCACCAGAGAAGUGUCCUUCCAGCAUGCCUGGAUUGCUGCUGGCAUGUAGAUAGCUGAUGUCAACAGCGUCCGUCUGCUUCUCUUCCUGACCUGUGUCAGCUGGCAUGAAGCAUGACAUGGGUGACCAGAUGUUUUCAUUAUCUGUGAACAUACAAACAAGACCUCGACCUAACGUUAUUAUCCCCUUGGGUCCCUUACAGUCUUAAUCUCUUGUGAUAUUCAGCCCAAAUCAGGUAUAUCAUACAAUGUAAUCUUUAACAUUAUAUUCAAACUGUUAUUACAGUAUUAGCUCAUAUUCAUUUUAGGGUGAGGAGGAGCUAGAUGGUUAGUGAUACCAUAUCCACCCUUGUUUCUUAUGAAAGUUGAAAUGCCAUAGCUAACAAAAUUGACUUUUAGAUAAGUCUGAUUCUAAUGAAGACAUGCUGUUGUUUGCACAUAUAAUUGACCCUUUAAGACAAUAAUCAUAUAAACAUUUUGGAUAGGAACAACAGUUUGUACUGCAAUUGGACAGUAUUCAGUGUGGGGUCAUAACAUUCACAAUUGCACCCUUUGAUAUUUGAUCAAAGUUGGCUAACAUGGAACAAUUCCAAUAAAAUAAUUGUAAGUUACAUAUUGUACCAAUACCAUUCAAAAUUUUCAGUCAUGUGAUAAAGUUAGAUCUUAUGACAAAUACCCAUAUAUUCAUAGAACAGAAUAUCUGUCAGUGACUUAACGAUAUUCUUCUGCAUGUAAAUAGUUUUUCAUACAAGUACAUUUGUGUGAAUAGUGUGUUAGACCUGCCUAUAGGGCAGUGAUGAUCUUUCCAGCUCAUUUGCUGUUUUCCUGGUGUCCUGUGCCAGACACCUCUGCAGUCUGUCCUUUUUCUGGGCAGAUUUUCUUGCCAUCAGAUGCUCUUGGUCAUCUUCCAUGGACUUCAGGUAUCUGAGAAAAUAGACAUAAAAUCUCGACCCCAAAUGAAAGCCUCAUUGGAUUUUGUAGAGUUAGAAAGUGACAGAACAUAUAUACCUUCAGUUUUUGAACCUUGGGGCUCAUAAAUGCCUUUGAGCUCUAUUUACCAUAGCUUGCAUUUAAGCCAUGAGCUAUCCAAUUCAGCCCAUGCAUUGCUGUUAAAAGCACUGCUCUCCCAAGCUGUUUGGAAUAGACAAUUGCGCACAAUUAUUUACAAGAUCUGUAACCACUUUGCUCACUUCUUCAUUUGAGCUUGAACCCAUAAACCAGGAGAGUAAGUACCUCCUAUCAUUUCUCACAGUUCAACCUUUAUGCCAGGAGCAUGUUGAAAUGCAUCCUUUGCUCUAAAAUAUGCAGUAGAUAGCUAUCAGGGGUGGAAUUAAUCCACAACAGUUUGCAUUGAUAAGCAAUAUCACAUGCUUGUACAGGAUAUAGAUGUACAAUAAAUUUGGCCCUCUGCUAGAGCAGAGAAUGCUAGCAGCUGUGCGCUCAAAGCAAGCCGUUCUGCAGCUAUUUGUGUGUGCCUUUGCAAACCAGCAUGCAUAGAUGCUUAACCAUUUGCCUUUUCAGACCCGUAAUCAUAAAACCAUCACACCAUAAAUCAUGUAUGAUUUCACCCAUGUGUGCUGGGAUUUGUCUGUCUGCACACAAUUUUUGCUUUUUGAAGAAAUUCAUAUUGUGCAAUCAUUAAAAUUGUAGCAUUGUCUUGUGCUAUAAAAGUAUGCACAGCAUUAUCAAACAGUUGCACAGGAGUUAUUAUUUCUGAACUAUUGCAGUUAACUUCAUAACUGAAAAGAUCUUGAUACUGUGACUAGGAUUAUUACCUUCAUCUGCCAAUUCUGCAAACCUUCACUGCAAAAAUAGAUCACAUUGUGCAAGUAACAUUUGAAUUUGCAUUAUUAUCAUAGGUCUCAUUUCAAUAUCAUGAUCAGCUUCAAUAUCUGUAAUUUGAGUACAUGGCAGUAUUGCCCAUUUCAAAUCAUUAAUAAAUCACUGUACUGAUUGACAAAUUACUUGAUAACUUUAGUAAUUAACUACUGGUAAACAGAUUGAAUCCUUCUAACCAUGCUUUCACUCUGCUGAGCAUGUGUCUUAGUUUUCAUAGUUGAAGCUAUUCUAGUUAUAAAUCAUUUGCUUUCUGGAUACAGGUGCAUUAAUGUGCCUCACAAAAAGUUUCUGAACUGCAUACAGGUUGUUUGAAUAAUCUCUGCCCAAGUUUUGUCUUGGUGCCCUUAUGUCCUGCUUAGGAAAGUGUUAAUAAUUCCUCCAUAGUUAAAAUGAGAAAGCAUUAUAAAUUCCUUUAAAUCAUAUUCCAAUUCAUGCUUAUCAUAUCUUAGUAUUAAAUUUUCCUUCUGGUUAAUUACAGCGUUAGUGAUAAAAACUUGCCGGGAUGCUGCCUUCCACGUGGCUUCAGGUAAGCCAUGUGGCUGAGAGAGAAAAAAGUUUCAUGCAGCUUUAUAUUUAAGCCCAAACCUUAAAAUUAAUGUUUGCACUUUACCUGGUAAUUUAUGCCAAAAUUCCAUUGCAGAGAAAACAUUUCUAGUCCUGAUAUUCUGUAGCAUAUGACAAAAGUCAGAGAAAGAUUUUUAUCUGUUUAACUCCUCUAUCAAGAAAUAUAAGCAGACAUUCCUUUACAAUUUUGCCUUGUCCAACCCAAAUUAGAAAGAUUUGAGUUUUUUAAAAUUCACUUUACCCUCUUUAAAGUCAGAGUUUUCCUUCAACAAAAGCCUGCCUUUACCUGGCCGGACCUCAAACAAAGGAUUUCCUAGGACCCUUUUCAAAUGCUAAAGUUGUGGCGCGGUUAGCUGAUAAGAAAAGCAGUUUGCCCUGUCCCGGACUACAGAAUCAUAAAAUAUCUUUUCAAACUAGGCUUUUUAAAAGUAACUCAGGAUUAUUACCUUGAUUUAUUAAUUUUGCUGAUACCUGUGGUUUUAUUAGAAAAAGUUUUUAGAAAUUAUCUCUGUUGCCAAUUGAUUCUGAUUCCUUUCUCCUUUAGCUAAAUGAACUUGAUUAACAUACUGCUCAUUUGCAUUUGUUUAGAAGCCUGAGUCUUUGAGCCUUUGUCUUAGAACCCGGUAACUUUGAAUUUGCACUUUUCUAAUGAAAUCUUAACUCCUGCUUUUUCUUUUCCUACCUGCUCUGUUUGAAACUCACUAUGCCAAGGUAAUUCUGGUAGAAUUAUGCUUUGUGGUGAACUGCCUGUUGUAGAUAAAGGAGAUUUCCCAAGUUACAGAAAUUGUGUCAGUGAGAGGUUGGGGGUGGGGUUACAGCCUUCAUGGCUUCAGAAGUCCUUUGCUAAAGUCAGAUCCAGCUGACAGCUACCAAUCGCUGUGGUGAGGUUUUGCUGGGUUGAAAUUCUCCCCUUCCUCCCCCACCUCAGACUUAGCCUCAGGUUAGCAAGCCUGUAGUAUUGUAUUUGUUUCAAAGGAGAGGAAAUCUCUGAGCUUUUAAAUUGGUAUCUCCCUGGCCAGCUCCUGCCUGUUCCUGCUUUGUGCUGAAGCCCGUGGCUUUGUUUCCUGCGUUUGAGAAAUUGCUUUAUCUCCAGAACUACAAGUUUGGAAAGGAAAUCUCCUUCUCCUUAAGAAGAUGUGGGUAAAACAUGAAUAAGGCUAGAUGAAGAGAGGAGGAAAAGAGGCCCAAUAUUCCAAAUGGGCAAAGAAUCCAAGAAGUUAAGUGAAAGAUCUCAUGCCAUGGCCCAGUGGAGAGAGCUUAUAGCGGAGGGACCUCAAGUCAAAAAGCUACCCAGAAGUCAUCACACGCAGGAUUCAGGCCAGUGAAUGCUUUCCUGAGACAUUUCAGCAUCAUGUUGGCAACAUCCCAGUAUCAGAUUUGGAGAAGGCCAGAGGACAAGAGUGCCCUGACUCCACUGCUGGAAAUCAUCCUUCUGGUGAACUCAGAUGAACUGUGGGCAGAUGCUGGAGUUCUGUAGAGAUGCUGCGUGUGAGAGGCGACUCUGGCUGGCAGCUUGCUAGGCGUUCCGACCAUCUUGGAGUGGUGGCAGUUAUUUUCUCUGGGUUUUGCGGAAGUCAUAUUUUGUCAAGAACAGAUGAACUUGAACCCAAAGAAGCUUGGAUUCCACUGUAACCUCAGAAACCACAAAAAUUGAAGAAAUUUGGAAGUAAGUAAAAAUUCGUGCGUCCCAUCUAUAGUGUAUAAUGUUUCAAUAUCUCAUUGGAAUCUGUGACUUUUUAGUGUCAUCUCCAUCUUAGCAUCUUGAUACACAGACACAUGAUGGAACUUGGGAACACCAUCAUUAGAAGACAGUUUUCUGAAAAUUACUUUUUAAUUUCUAAUUUAACCCUUGAAAAUAGCUGGCCAGAUCCACAAAGAUCUCCUCUGUGCUCAGUGCUCAUUUAGAGGACAAAGGAAGUUAAGGGAAUAGUAUUAGGCUAAAAGAUAUUUGGAUUAUUAAUUAUAGUAGUCCUAUUGUAAUUUCUCCAGACUAUGCAUGCAUUCAUUCAUUCAUUCAAUUACUCUUUAUUUCAUUGAUUCAUUCAUAAGGAGUAUUUAAAGUAGAGGCAUAACUGAAUGGCCAAAGCCCUCAGGAUUUCUGGUGGCACCAUUAGUAAAUGUUUUUGGCACAGUUACAUGCUCUAUGUACCAAAGCAUCAGCAAGGUAAGCCUGAGCAGGAAGAGUAAGAAAACAUGGAAAGGAUGAAGAAUGGCUAGAGUGGCCCAUCCUUCUGGGGUUGUAAUUACCAGCCCUUUUUCUCCUCCUCCUCUGCCAGAUAAGGAAUCUCACACAAGAGUGUUCUGGCCAUGUCUAUGAAACCUUAUGGCUCUUUUGGAUAUAUGAAUAGGAGAUGCCUUGUUAAAGGAGAAUGUUUAAGAUUGGGCUUUGCUGAAUUAGAUUAAAAAAAUAAUUAAAGUAUAAGUAGUAUUUCAUAUUCUCUAUAUCUGUCAAUUGCUAAAGAUUAAAUGCAAGGUGGAGAUUUUAUUCCCUAACUCCUUUCAGCUCACUUAGUAACAGGAUAUAAUCACAGAUGAUGAAGUGGUACUAUGCCAACAAUGUGCUAACAUAUUGUUAUCCCUUUACAUUGUGUGAAUACCUUUCUCUGAUAAAAUUUGAAGGGGCAAGACUAUUGGAUGGGUUGAAAAUAUUCCAGCCGCCUGGAGGUUUUACUAUCAAUGGAGUAAGGGAUAUUUGGAUAUAAUAUAUAUAUAAUUAUAUUAUAUAUAUAUAUAUAUAUAUAUAUAUAUAUAAGGAUAUAAAAGAUACCUUUAAAGUCAAAAGGUGAGAUGUCUUCUUUGACAUUAUGCUUCUUUGUAAUUGGGUAACAUUCACUUUCAGUUAGUUUCAGACUAUUAUUCUUUCUCUUUGAACUGUUUCUGUCAAUGCGUAUAUUUUUUUGUCUCACAUCAUUUCAUGUACAUUUUAAAGCAUUUCUCUGUAUUCAUCUAACAAUAAUUUCAAAGAAUAAUGGAAAGAUGGGUAUCCUUGCUUUAUUCCUGUAUCUACUGGGAAAUAUUCUAGUGUAUGAUGCUUGAUACCUUCAAUUAUAAUAAAAAGAACCUUUCUAUACCUGAAUAUAUUUUGUAAAGUUUUUUAAUAGCAUAAGUGAGUAUUGUAUUUAAUUAAUUUUUUCUAUAUCUAUCAAGAUAAAAUGUGAUUUGGUAUUUCUUGAAAUUUUAUAUGAUUUGCAUUGUAUUCCUAUUGCUAGAACAUCAUCAAUGAGAUUUGUCUGAAGUUAUCCAUCUGUCCUUUGUCCUUCCAUGGUUUAAGUAUUAGGAUUCUAUUAGUCUCAUCAAUAGUCCCUUUCAAAGCAAGUUCUUUCUCAGUUUUUGACAGUGUAAUAUUGUUAUUAUCUAUUCAUUAAAAAAUUGAUAGAAUUUUUCUUUGAUUUUUUCCAGGAGUUUAAUUUUUUCUUUCAUAGUUUCUUUAUAACUAAUCCAAUUUCCUUUUCUAAGAUUGGGAUCAUUUAAGAUUUCUUGAUUGUCUUCUAUUAGUUUGCUUAUUUUCUUAUUGAAGGUAUUCUAUUUCU
Molecule: long non-coding RNA, 13456 nt
Organism: Monodelphis domestica (gray short-tailed opossum)
Lineage: Eukaryota; Metazoa; Chordata; Mammalia; Didelphimorphia; Didelphidae
Source: RefSeq, a predicted model, not a curated record